CCCAUCCGUGUUGAACUACACCUGUUGCUUCGGCGGGCCCGCCGUGGUUCACGCCCGGCCGCCGGGGGGCCUUGUGCUCCCGGGCCCGCGCCCGCCGAAGACCCCUCGAACGCUGCCCUGAAGGUUGCCGUCUGAGUAUAAAAUCAAUCAUUAAAACUUUCAACAACGGAUCUCUUGGUUCCGGCAUCGAUGAAGAACGCAGCGAAAUGCGAUAAGUAAUGUGAAUUGCAGAAUUCCGUGAAUCAUCGAAUCUUUGAACGCACAUUGCGCCCCCUGGCAUUCCGGGGGGCAUGCCUGUCCGAGCGUCAUUGCUAACCCUCCAGCCCGGCUGGUGUGUUGGGUCGACGUCCCCCCCCCGGGGGACGGGCCCGAAAGGCAGCGGCGGCGCCGCGUCCGAUCCUCGAGCGUAUGGGGCUUUGUCACGCGCUCUGGUAGGGUCGGCCGGCUGGCCAGCCAGCGACCUCACGGUCACCUAUUUUUUCUCUUAGGUUGACCUCGGAUCAGGUAGGGAUACCCGCUGAACUUAAGCAUAUCAAAAGCCGGGAGGAAAUUACCAAGUGAGGGUCCACAAGGCCCAACCCCAUCGUGUUGAACUACACCUGUUGCUUCGCGAGCGCGUGGUUAGACCGGCGCCUGGGGACUUGUGCUCGGGCGCGCCGCGAAGACCCUCAACCUGCCUGAAAGGUUGCCUCUUACUAUAAUAUCAAUCAUUAAAAACUUUUCACAACGAGAUCUCUUGGGGUUUCGACGUCAAAUAAAGAAGGCGCGAAAUGCUAUAAGCUAGAUGUGAAUUGCAGAAAUUCGUGCGAUCAUGUAAUCUUUGUACGCACAUUGCGCCCGCGAUGUACAGGGGGCAUGCGUUGCUACAAAACUCCAGCCUGACGAGUUGUGAUUAUAGUCCUCCUCGGGGUGAGGUGCUCAAUG
RNAcentral lists this ribosomal RNA (924 nucleotides) under Paecilomyces sp. XAE_057. RNAcentral's name for it is "eukaryotic LSU rRNA". The stretch from base 155 to 308 matches the Rfam family "5.8S ribosomal RNA". The record is from RNAcentral. Lineage: Eukaryota; Fungi; Ascomycota; Eurotiomycetes; Eurotiales; Thermoascaceae.